This is a long non-coding RNA of Sarcophilus harrisii (Tasmanian devil), 2359 nucleotides long. RefSeq lists it as uncharacterized. NCBI's taxonomy places the organism in Eukaryota, Metazoa, Chordata, Mammalia, Dasyuromorphia, Dasyuridae. The record is from RefSeq and is a predicted model, not a curated record. The transcript is spliced from 3 exons.
GGAGGAGAUAAUUUCUCUUUCCCUUUCCAAACUAUCAGUCAUAUAAUUUGGAAGAGGAACUACUGGGAAGUUCCAUCAAGAGAGAAUGCAACCAGUGGGGAGUCUGGACAAAUUCCAGACAGACAGGAUUCUUAGGAAACAAAAUCUUCAAAGACUGUGAUCCCUGGUAGCAGAGAAGAGAGUCAGUUAUGAAGAUGAACAGAUCCUGGGAAUCCACCUGACUACCUGACCCUUCAGAGACACUGCAUGUAAGGGAAACUUCAUGUGGAUUUUCUGAAGAGAGAAAGAGUUUGCUCAUGUAGUACUAUUGGUUUCAUUCUUGUUGCUUGGUGAUCACAAUUAUGAUAACAGACUAAAGGAUCAUAUUUGAAAAUACAUCUUUCUUAUCCAUAACCAUGAAGUCCAGUGGCAAGACAAGAAUAAGAAUGACUGGUGAUGGUCCAGGAUGCAGCGGAUCACCUUGGAAUCUUCAACGUUUGACCAAGCUCUAAAUGUUCCACAUCAUCUGCUUUAACCACCUUCAUGGUUAUAGGAACAAAUUGUUCUUACCUAUCCAUUUCACUGGGGGAAGUUUUCAUGUGCUUGAAAUAGCUGAUGGAUUUGAGACCUAUUGGUGACCCUCAAGCUGGUUUAGGCCAUCUGUGCAGACAGUAUUACUGGAAUGGGGCCACUGGACAUGCUGUAGCAUGCUUCUUGCUGCACAGCUUCUUGGAGCCACAGAUGGGAGUUGGGUAUCAAGCAAACACCAAAAAUGGACGAGCAGCCCUUCUUUUGUGCACUGUGUCUCUUCAUGUACUUUAGGGAAGCAUAGUGGACAGAACAAGGAAGGUUUCUCUGCUCUGGUUAGAACACAUUUAGAAUACUGAGUUGAGGUUGAUGCCAUAUUUUAUGAAGGAUAUUGGUAAGCUCGAGAUUGUACAGAGCAGGGUGACCAAGAUUGGUUGAAUAACAAACACACACAAACCCUCCAAACUAUACCAUGUAUAAAGAGGAUGUAUAACCUGGGGAUUGCAAAAUGUGAUGGUUGCCAUUAAUUGUUUAAAGGACUGUCCUGUUAAAGAGGGAUUAGACUUAAUCUAUUUGCCCUAGAGGACAGAGCUAAGACUAAAGGAUGGAAAUUUAGCUUGACAUAAAGAAAAACUUAACAAUUAGAGCAGAACGAAAAUGGAAGAAGCUACUUUGAAAAUUGCAAAGUUCUUAACAAAUGAAGGUCUUUAAGUAGAGGCUGAAUUGGAUGAUGUUAAACAGGAAUUUUGGAUGGGGGAUUCCUGCUCAGUUAUAGCUUGAAAUACAUUAUGUAUGAGGUUUCUUCUCUCCCUAAAAUUUGAAGGAAUUAGAAUCUUACUGUUGAGAACUAUUGAUGCUCAUGCUUGAGAUGAUCCAAGAUACAAAGUAUCUGUUUGGAAGUGAGUCCUUUGAUUAUCUGUGAAUGGGAUAAAUAUCUUAGAGGUUACUUGUAGAAAUAUUUUAUCUCCAGUUAACUUUUUGGUAUUUAAUUGGGGGAAAACUGCACAUUUUUGGCAAGUUUCACUCUAGAAGAUAAGGGUACUCACCUUGCUAUUUUCUCCAAAGGAAGGAUACUAUAUGUCACUGGAAAGGCAAUGCUAUUGUCUGCUCAUCAAUGCAUGUAUUUCAUUUUUUAUAGCCCUGAGGAAGAAUCCCUUGGGGAUUGUUGGAAAUGGUCCCUUGGCAAUAUGUAACUCCAGUAGUACUCACGUAAGGGUCCUUUAUAUGUUAUAUUUGUUUCAUACCAGCUUUUGCUUUCCCAGCCACAAUAUACCUUCCCACCCUAUGACUGGUGUUUGCUAAGGGAAUUCAAAACAAUUAAAUUACCCUCAAGAAUAUCCAAGGACCCCUUCAUCUAUUUCUCUCCCCGUGUUUGGUACUGGUUAGUUAACAGAAGUGUUUAACAUUUAUGCUUACAUAACUUGCAUAAACAGGUGUCUAUAAGAAGAAAGCUAGCUAAUAUAAUUUUGAAGAUGAAUACAUGAUUGAUAAAUUAGAGCUUGGGGUCUCAGUUACUUAAUUAUAUCAACCUAAGGUGAACAAAUUCUUUAUAUUAGGAGAUCUUUGGGCCUUUUGAAUUUGUUACUGUAUUUGUUUAAUUAUUCUCCCAUCCUUCCCUUCAUCUUUGCUGGAGUUGUCACUUAUGAUAGCGGGGAGCCACAGUGGAAAGAAUGCUGGUCCUGGAGUGAAAAAACCUGAAUCCAAUUCAGCUUCAGACACUUAACAACUGUGUGCCUUUGGACAAGUCAUUUAAUUAAGGUAUGUCUCAGUUUUCUCAUCUAUAAAGUGGACCUGGAAACAACAGGACCUUUCCCCCAGGUUUUAAGGAUCAAGUAACAUAAUAUUUGUAAGA